Molecule: ribosomal RNA, 465 nt
Filed under: uncultured Klebsiella sp.
Lineage: Bacteria; Pseudomonadati; Pseudomonadota; Gammaproteobacteria; Enterobacterales; Enterobacteriaceae
Description: bacterial SSU rRNA
Rfam family: Bacterial small subunit ribosomal RNA
Source: RNAcentral
CCUACGGGUGGCAGCAGUGGGGAAUAUUGCACAAUGGGCACAAGCCUGAUGCAGCCAUGCCGCGUGUGUGAAGAAGGCCUUCGGGUUGUAAAGCACUUUCAGCGGGGAGGAAGGCGGUGAGGUUAAUAACCUCAUCGAUUGACGUUACCCGCAGAAGAAGCACCGGCUAACUCCGUGCCAGCAGCCGCGGUAAUACGGAGGGUGCAAGCGUUAAUCGGAAUUACUGGGCGUAAAGCGCACGCAGGCGGUCUGUCAAGUCGGAUGUGAAAUCCCCGGGCUCAACCUGGGAACUGCAUUCGAAACUGGCAGGCUAGAGUCUUGUAGAGGGGGGUAGAAUUCCAGGUGUAGCGGUGAAAUGCGUAGAAAUCUGGAGGAAUACCGGUGGCGAAGGCGGCCCCCUGGACAAAGACUGACGCUCAGGUGCGAAAGCGUGGGGAGCAAACAGGAUUAGAUACCCUAGUAGUC